GGGACACGUGGUAUCCUGUCUGAAUAUGGGGGGACCAUCCUCCAAGGCUAAAUACUCCUGACUGACCGAUAGUGAACCAGUACCGUGAGGGAAAGGCGAAAAGAACCCCGGCGAGGGGAGUGAAAAAGAACCUGAAACCGUGUACGUACAAGCAGUGGGAGCCUCUUAAUGGGGUGACUGCGUACCUUUUGUAUAAUGGGUCAGCGACUUAUAUUCUGUAGCAAGGUUAACCGAAUAGGGGAGCCGAAGGGAAACCGAGUCUUAACUGGGCGUUAAGUUGCAGGGUAUAGACCCGAAACCCGGUGAUCUAGCCAUGGGCAGGUUGAAGGUUGGGUAACACUAACUGGAGGACCGAACCGACUAAUGUUGAAAAAUUAGCGGAUGACUUGUGGCUGGGGGUGAAAGGCCAAUCAAACCGGGAGAUAGCUGGUUCUCCCCGAAAGCUAUUUAGGUAGCGCCUCGUGAAUUCAUCUCCGGGGGUAGAGCACUGUUUCGGCAAGGGGGUCAUCCCGACUUACCAACCCGAUGCAAACUGCGAAUACCGGAGAAUGUUAUCACGGGAGACACACGGCGGGUGCUAACGUCCGUCGUGAAGAGGGAAACAACCCAGACCGCCAGCUAAGGUCCCAAAGUCAUGGUUAAGUGGGAAACGAUGUGGGAAGGCCCAGACAGCCAGGAUGUUGGCUUAGAAGCAGCCAUCAUUUAAAGAAAGCGUAAUAGCUCACUGGUCGAGUCGGCCUGCGCGGAAGAUGUAACGGGGCUAAACCAUGCACCGAAGCUGCGGCAGCGACACUAUGUGUUGUUGGGUAGGGGAGCGUUCUGUAAGCCUGUGAAGGUGGCCUGUGAGGGUUGCUGGAGGUAUCAGAA
RNAcentral lists this ribosomal RNA (867 nucleotides) under Escherichia coli. RNAcentral's name for it is "partial 23S ribosomal RNA". It matches the Rfam family "Bacterial large subunit ribosomal RNA", at positions 419 to 1287 of the family's 2925-position model. Lineage: Bacteria; Pseudomonadati; Pseudomonadota; Gammaproteobacteria; Enterobacterales; Enterobacteriaceae. The record is from RNAcentral.